CAACAGGGAUUGCCUUAGUAGCGGCGAGUGAAGCGGCAAAAGCUCAAAUUUGAAAUCUGGCACUUUCAGUGUCCGAGUUGUAAUUUGAAGAAGGUAUCUUUGGGUCUGGCUCUUGUCUAUGUUUCUUGGAACAGAACGUCACAGAGGGUGAGAAUCCCGUGCGAUGAGAUGUCCCAGACCUAUGUAAAGUUCCUUCGAAGAGUCGAGUUGUUUGGGAAUGCAGCUCUAAGUGGGUGGUAAAUUCCAUCUAAAGCUAAAUAUUGGCGAGAGACCGAUAGCGAACAAGUACAGUGAUGGAAAGAUGAAAAGAACUUUGAAAAGAGAGUGAAAAAGUACGUGAAAUUGUUGAAAGGGAAGGGCUUGAGAUCAGACUUGGUAUUUUGUAUGUUACUCUCUCGGGGGUGGCCUCUACAGUUUACCGGGCCAGCAUCAGUUUGGGCGGUAGGACAAUUGCAAAGAAAUGUGGCACUGCCUCGGUAGUGUGUUAUAGUCUUUGUCGAUACUGCCAGCCUAGACUGAGGACUGCGGCUUCGG
Molecule: ribosomal RNA, 534 nt
Filed under: Lodderomyces orthopsilosis
Lineage: Eukaryota; Fungi; Ascomycota; Pichiomycetes; Serinales; Debaryomycetaceae
Description: LSU rRNA
Rfam family: Eukaryotic large subunit ribosomal RNA
Source: RNAcentral